UAAAGAUUAAAAGGAUUUCGUUUGAUAGUUUCCAAAAUUAUAGCGCUACUAAAUUCUAGUACUUAGUCCUUAGUACUUACAAAAUCGUAUAUGAUAAACAACAAACACAAAAUAUCAGUGCAUAAGUUUAUUUAUCUUCAAGAUAAUCAUUUUGAAAAAUAAUUUCUCGGAAAGAAUGUAAAAAAAACAUUCUAUGUAAUGUUAUUCAUUAUUCGUAAAUUAGGUAUUUAGGUAAAACGUGGACAAAUGACAAACAAUUCUGAUAAACUCUUAUCUAACCCUAUUCAAAGAUUGCUUUGAUUGUCUAUAUUGCUAUCAUUAUCGCUUGUAAUCAAUAGGAGUAUCAGAUAUGAAGCUAUUCAUAGUGCUUGCUUGUCUCACAGUAGCGUGGGCUGUACCAUUGACUAAGGAGAAUGAUAAUAUUCAAGAAUUAGAAGUAAUUCCUGAAAAUGAUUCAAUUGAUUCCUCUGGCACAGAAUCUGCGGCAUAUUUGCCUCAAAUUAUAAAAGUUGCAGAUGUUCUUAGGGAAUAUGAAAGGGCGAAUGCUAAGCCUAGCGAAGAAACACAAAAUGUACCAGACAUUGAACCACUUAACGGACCAGAGGUGAAUGCAGACUUUCUUGAAGAUGACAGUGCUGAUGAACUACCUGAUUUAGGAAAUUUGAUGCCAUUAAAUGAGAAUGACCAGGAUGCGAUUCAAAUUGCUGCCCCAUUUGAUAACGAUGUCGACGAAAAAUCUGGUUUUGAUGAAAUUCAAAUAGUUAAUUUGGAUGAUUUUCGCGGUAUAAUGGGUAUAGCGCCAUCUGAACUUGAUUCAUUGAGAGUCUAUUUUGAUGAUGACAUGGCUCGCGAACUCGCUGACGAUAAUGAGGCACCGGAAAUAAUAAGACUUAACUACGAUGACCCAAAUUUACGUUAAGACUUGUUCUGUAAUUUCUAUUAACUUUUUAAUAAACUUAUAUAAAUAUA
Molecule: long non-coding RNA, 969 nt
Organism: Pieris napi
Lineage: Eukaryota; Metazoa; Arthropoda; Insecta; Lepidoptera; Pieridae
Exons: 2
Source: RefSeq, a predicted model, not a curated record